This 727-nucleotide unclassified non-coding RNA is filed under the name Hevea brasiliensis (rubber tree). Lineage: Eukaryota; Viridiplantae; Streptophyta; Magnoliopsida; Malpighiales; Euphorbiaceae. The record is from RNAcentral.
GAUGACAUGAAAUGCAUCCAUACAAAUUUAAUUAAUUUGGGAAGCAUCUUAGGUAUGGGCUUAUUUUGCGGAGAUAUUAGCCCAAUAGCUAGUUAAUAACUUUAGAAAAUGACAAGGGACAUCCAUAUAUUUUUCUAGAGUUUAAAGUCGAGAGAGAAGUCUCUAAAGCCGCUAUGGUCUGGGCUCUCACUCACGUCGUCUGUCCUGGGGACUCUAUUACGCUGCUCGCCCUAUUAGCUAGCCGGCGACAACCGUGGAAAUUCAUUAAUUUCAGCCUGUCUCGGGUUCUCUAUUGUACGGCGAAACUCGCUAAUAAUAUAUAUAUGUUUUCUCAGGAACCAGACCUACAUGCACGAAGAAGAAUAUAUAUCUCUGGUCAUAUUCUUGUGUAACUUCUGUCGUCCCGUUCAUUGUGGUUCCUCGGCCCUGCUAGCCAUUUGCUUGCUCGAACUGUACACGUUCGGGUCAACAUGAAAACUACCAUACAUCUGCGGGAACCCCGCAAAUCUUCUCGGCUAGUUACUCUGUGGAAAGUCCUGUCUACUUUUUACGCGCUCCGGGUGGAAAGCGAUAAGGUUCUCCGGGCCCCGCUUUCCCGCCUAUUCCCCCAUUGGAUGACCCCAUACCACCAAGAUGGGGGAUGCGGAGCAAUAGGUCGAAUUACUAUAUAAAGAAGAGUUGUAAACUAUAGGACUUCUUGUUCCCCCACUCUUCUUUGAUCCGUCUU